Molecule: transfer RNA, 73 nt
Filed under: Stegodyphus mimosarum
Lineage: Eukaryota; Metazoa; Arthropoda; Arachnida; Araneae; Eresidae
Rfam family: tRNA
About the family: Transfer RNA (tRNA) molecules are approximately 80 nucleotides in length. Their secondary structure includes four short double-helical elements and three loops (D, anti-codon, and T loops).
Source: Rfam by way of RNAcentral
GCAUUCGUGGUGUAGUGGUCAGCACGCUGGACGCGUAUGCUAGAGGUCCAUGGUUCGAGUCCCGGCGAAGGUG